RNAcentral lists this ribosomal RNA (783 nucleotides) under uncultured Acidobacteriota bacterium. RNAcentral's name for it is "bacterial SSU rRNA". It matches the Rfam family "Bacterial small subunit ribosomal RNA", at positions 15 to 774 of the family's 1533-position model. Lineage: Bacteria; Pseudomonadati; Acidobacteriota. The record is from RNAcentral.
GAUCCUGGCUCAGAAUCAACGCUGGCGGCGUGCCUCAGACAUGCAAGUCGAACGCGAAAGUUCCCCUUCGGGGGCCAAGUAGAGUGGCGCACGGGUGAGUAACACGUAGGUAAUCUACCUUCGGAUGGGGAAUAACAACCGGAAACCGGUUGCUAAUACCGCAUAAUGCAGCGGCACCUAAUGGUGACAGUUGUUAAAGCGGGGGAUCGAAAGACCUCGCGUCUGAAGAGGAGCCUGCGGCGGAUUAGCUAGUUGGCAGGGUAACGGCCUACCAAGGCGACGAUCCGUAGCCGGCCUGAGAGGGCGGUCGGCCACACUGACACUGACAUACGGGUCAGACUCCUACGGGAGGCAGCAGUCGGGAAUUUUGGGCAAUGGGCGAAAGCCUGACCCAGCAACGCCGCGUGAAGGAUGAAAUCCCUCGGGAUGUAAACUUCGCAAGAACGGGAAGAAUAAGUCUGCGUUAACAUCGCAGGCGAUGACGGUACUGUUUGUAAGCUCCGGCUAACUCCGUGCCAGCAGCCGCGGUAAUACGGGGGGAGCAAGCGUUGUUCGGAUUUACUGGGCGUAAAGGGCGCGUAGGCGGCCACCGCAAGUCAAUUGUGAAAUCUCCGGGCUUAACUCGGAAAGGUCAACUGAUACUGCGGGGCUAGAGUGCAGAAGGGGCAACUGGAAUUCUCGGUGUAGCGGUGAAAUGCGUAGAUAUCGAGAGGAACACCUGCGGCGAAGGCGGGUUGCUGGGCUGACACUGACGCUGAGGCGCGAAAGCUAGGGGAGCGAACG